GCUAGGCGCAGGCUUAACACAUGCAAGUCGAGGGGUAACAGGGAGAAGCUUGCUUUUCCGCUGACGACCGGCGCACGGGUGCGUAACGCGUAUAGAACCUACCUUUUACAGAGGAAUAGCCCAGAGAAAUUUGGAUUAAUGCCUCAUAGUAUUAUAGAAUGGCAUCAUUUUAUAAUUAAACAUUUAUGGGUAAAAGAUGGCUAUGCGUUCUAUUAGCUAGUUGGUAAGGUAACGGCUUACCAAGGCUACGAUAGAUAGGGGUCCUGAGAGGGAGAUCCCCCACACUGGUACUGAGACACGGACCAGACUCCUACGGGAGGCAGCAGUGAGGAAUAUUGGACAAUGGAGGCAACUCUGAUCCAGCCAUGCCGCGUGCAGGAAGACGGCCCUAUGGGUUGUAAACUGCUUUUAUAUAGGAAGAAACCUUUCCACGUGUGGAAAGCUGACGGUACUAUAAGAAUAAGCACCGGCUAACUCCGUGCCAGCAGCCGCGGUAAUACGGAGGGUGCAAGCGUUAUCCGGAAUCAUUGGGUUUAAAGGGUCCGUAGGCGGACUAAUAAGUCAGGGGUGAAAUCCAACAGCUUAACUGUUGAACUGCCUUUGAUACUGUUAGUCUUGAAUUAUAUGGAAGUAGAUAGAAUGUGUAGUGUAGCGGUGAAAUGCUUAGAGAUUACACAGAAUACCGAUUGCGAAGGCAGUCUACU
Molecule: ribosomal RNA, 704 nt
Filed under: Lutibacter sp.
Lineage: Bacteria; Pseudomonadati; Bacteroidota; Flavobacteriia; Flavobacteriales; Flavobacteriaceae
Description: bacterial SSU rRNA
Rfam family: Bacterial small subunit ribosomal RNA
Source: RNAcentral